RNAcentral lists this ribosomal RNA (440 nucleotides) under uncultured bacterium. RNAcentral describes it as "partial 16S ribosomal RNA". It matches the Rfam family "Bacterial small subunit ribosomal RNA", at positions 338 to 795 of the family's 1533-position model. The record is from RNAcentral.
CCUACGGGUGGCAGCAGUGGGGAAUAUUGCACAAUGGGGGAAACCCUGAUGCAGCGACGCCGCGUGAGUGAAGACGUAUCUCGGUACGUAAAGCCCUAUCAGCAGGGAAGAAAAUGACGGUACCUGACUAAGACGCCGCGUCUAACUACGUGCCAGCAGCCGCGGUAAUACGUAGGGGGCAAGCGUUAUCCGGAUUUACUGGGGGUAAAGGGGGCGUAGACGGCAGCACAAGUCUGGAGUGAAAUCCCGGGGCUUAACCCCGGAACUGCUUUGGAAACUGUGCGGCUGGAGUGCAGGAGAGGUAUGCGGAAUGCGUAGUGUAGCGGUGAAAUGCGUAGAUAUUAGGAAGAACUCCGGUGGCGAAGGCGGCAUACUGGACUGUAACUGACGUUGAGGCUCGAAAGCGUGGGUAGCGAACAGGAUUAGAUACCCUUGUAGUC